Molecule: non-coding RNA, 87 nt
Organism: Coprinopsis sp. MPI-PUGE-AT-0042
Lineage: Eukaryota; Fungi; Basidiomycota; Agaricomycetes; Agaricales; Psathyrellaceae
Source: the annotation of a GenBank genome assembly
CCGACUUUAGCUCAGUUGGAAGAGCAUCAGACUGUAAUCGGGCAUUAUUUAAUCUGGGUGUCGCCUGUUCGAACCAGGCAAGUCGGA